AAAAAGAAAAAAGAAAAAAAAAAAAGAAUGUUCAUAGCAGCCCUAUUCACAGUAACCAAAAUGGAACGACGCAGGCAUCCUUCAAAGAUGAAUGGGUAAAAGAAAUGGACUCUGUCCAUAUUAAGGAGUAGUAUUUGGCCAGGAAAAGGAAUGAAGGGCUGAUCUGUGCUACCCUGUGGAUGAACCCCAGGGAGACUGUGUGAAAGAAGUGACAGAAGCCAGAUGCAAAAGUCCACCUGUUGUGUGACUCCCUUUCAAUGAAAUGUCCAGGAGUUCCCGUCCUGGCGCAGAGGAAACGAAUCCAACUAGGAGCCAUGAGGUUGCGGGUUCGAGCCCUAGCCUCGCUCAGUGGGGUAAGGAUCUGGCGCUGCCGUGAGCUGUGGCGAAGGUUGCAGACGCGGCUCGGAUCCCCAGAGUGGCUGUGGCUCUGGCGGCGGCCAGCAGCUGUAGCUCUGAUUGGACCCUUAGCCUGGGGACCUCCAUAUGCCGCGAGUGAGGCCCUAAAAGAAAGAAAGAAAGAAAGAAAUGUCCAGAGUAGGAAAUUCCAUAAAAACAGAAAGCAGAGUGGUGGUUUCCAGGGGCUAGAGGAGGGGGCAUGGGGAGCAACUGCUUAAUGGAUGUGGCUUUGCCUUAGAGCAGAUGGAAUGCUGUGGAAUGAGACAGAGGUCGUGGUUGCACAACACUGUGAGUGUACGGAAUGCCACUGACUUGUUUAUUUUAUGCUUUGCGCAUUUCAUUCCAAUUAAAAAAAUUUUUUUUUCCUUUUCUUUUUAGGGCUUCACCCACAGCAUAUGGACAUUCCCAGGCGAGGGGUCGCAUCAGAGCUGCAGCUGCCAGCCUAGACCACAGCCAAGCCACAGCCACACAAGAUCGGAGCCACGUCUGCAACCUAUGCUACAGCUCACGGCAACGACGGGUCCUUAACCCACUGAGCAAGGCCAGGGAUUGAACCUGCAUCCUCAUGGAUACUAGUGAGGUUUGGGUUCAUUACUGAUAAGCCCCAACAAGAACUCCCUAGACUCAUCCUUUUGUGACGUACAGAAAGUCCAUUUCUAAGGCUGCUGUUGAUAUUCUGAUUUGAGUGGUGUUGAAGAAAGAAUAAUUCUAGGCACUUGGUAAAGAAGGGGAAGGCAGACUUUCCUCAGGAUGGGGCAGGGUCUUGCAGUGGAGCAGGAGGGAGGAGCGUUUGGGCUCAACUCCAAAUGCAAGGAAAAGUGGGAACUUACAGCCAAGGAGCAGGGUGGGAGUUCAUGCAUGGAAAAUUACUAGAGGAAACAUCAGGGGUAAGGGAGGAUUCUGGUGAAACUGGCCUAGCGGAGCUUGCUGAAGGCCGGCCAAGGGAGGCCAGAUGUCCUCGGGGAUGGCGAAACCCGAGCAGAUACUACAGGUGACCAGACGUGGUAGAGGAUGGGGCUGAACUGACUUAGCAGGAUUCUCUGGGUGUGUGUGCAUUUUAUUUAUUUAUUGGGCUGCGCCCUCGGCAUGAGAAAGUUCCCAGGCCAGGGAUCAAACCCUUGCCACAGAAGUAACCAGUCCUACAGCAGUCACAAUGCCAGGUCCUUAACCUGCUGAGCCACCAGGGAACUCCCAACAGUGUAUUUUUACAUUUGGGAAAAAAAUAUUUAAAACUCUGUUAGAAAUGGGGAACAUUUUUUAUUUUUUUGCUUUUUAGGGCCACACCGACGGCAUAUGAAAGUUCCCAGGCUAGGGAUCGAAUUGGAGCCGCAGCUGCCAGCCUACACCACAGCCACAGCAACGCAGGAUCCAAGCCAUGUCUGUGACCUACCCCACAGCUCACGGCAACACCAGAUGCUUAAACCACUGAGCGAGGCCAGGCAUGGCAUCUGCCUCUUCAUGGACCCUAGUUGGAUUCAUUAUCGCUGAGCCAUGACAGGAACUCCCUGGAAAUGGAAAAAAUUUAAAUCCAGCCUUUUCUAUUUGUGAAGGCUCUCUCAAAUGGAUUGGAAAUGAUACAUGCUAAAGACUCUAACUGGGUUUGGCCUUGGAAUAUCCCUAAAGGGAAGCAGAAGGAAGCAGCUGGCAACAUCCAUGGGAUCGGCUGAUGGCCCCAUCUCCUUCCUGGCCGUCUGGCACCACGAUUCCCAAACUAGGCAGUGCCCGGAACCCCCUGGCUUCAACACUAUGGAGGCCUGAGCCCCACCCUCAGAGAUUUUGACUGAAUGGGUCUGGACGGUGGCUGGGAGCUUCAGAAUUUUUCAAAUCUCCCCAGUGAUUCUCAUGGCAGACAAAGUUGGGAACCACUGACUUAGCAUAAAAGGAGCAUCUGAAGCCUGUUUUCCAAGCAGGGGGGCAACUCACAGAAAUUCUGUAACUGCCACAAAAAGACUUCAAGGGCGUCGUGAAGCGUCAUGGUCCCAGAGAUUAUUUCACGUCUGGAAAUGAGUCAGGCAUAGUACAAAUAUGACACAUACUAUUACAGUGGCUCCCCACAUCCUCCCAGGCAGCAGCGUGGGAAUAUGGGAAGAGUGACAAAGCUGGCUGCCACCCAGGCUCCCGGCAAAGGGGGAGUAGGGGGGGGGGUCUGCUGUUAUUACGGUCACUCCCGCUAGAUGGUGUCACAGCAGACGCUCCCGUGAAUUAAAAAACUCAAUUAAAUCUCCUUUCCCUGUUGAACGGCAAUACGAGUUUGAAAAUGCUCUUUUAAAAUAUCUAAUGGGUAUUGAAUUACCCGGGGAUUCUGUUUUUCCGGAAAGGAAAGAUGACGUUAGCGUCCCAUCACGAGGACCCAUGUCCCAGUGGCUGGCCUCAGGCAGUGCCACUCCCUCCCCCUGACUGCACUGUGCCUUCGUGAAAUCGGUCAGAUGUCCACCUGGCCGUGUUUGUUUCCAUGGUGGUUGUUUUGGAAUCGUGGCUUCGGAUUUACAGAAGAGUGGAAACGAGUGGCAGGAAGAAGAAACGGGCACAUGGGGAAAGAAGGCGGCUGGCGUGCUGUCCCGUCAAGGGUUGGGAAUUGCGGCUGCACUUGAGCUAGAACUUGGCCUUGAAUGGUGUUUGUCUUGUAUCUUUCCACCAGCUUGGAAAUCUCACUCGUGCAAAUCCUUGCUGGACAGUCACUGGGAAAGACAAUUAAUUUUUCAUCCAAGCAAGGAGCACAUGUUUCUAAAAAGUACUUGACUCCCAAAGGAAGUGUUCCAAUUAUGUUUCAGGGUAAUAAUAAAUCGCCCUCAGAUGUAGUGGCUUCUGUGAAGCAAUAAUUUAUCGGGUCCAUGGUGGGUUGACUGGGCUGGGCUGGGUGGUUCUCAGCGGGGGACUGGAGGGGUUAUGGUGUCAGUGGGCUGAGCAUCUGAGACGGGUCCCUCCCGUGGGACCGUUGAGGAGGCUGUCAGCCAGAGCACCUGUGUGGCCCCUCCAUGGGGACAUGGUGGCUGGGUUCCCAGAGGGAAUGUCCCAUAGCAGUCAGUCCAAGACACCCGGACAGAAGUCGUGUGGCUUCUCACGCCCUCGCCUCAGAAGUCCCAGAGCAUCACUUGUGGCACAUUUUACUGCUCAAGCAAGUCCCUGAGGCCAGCCAGGGUUGCCGGAAAGGGAACCAGGUCCCCUUCCCGUGUGUGGGGGCAGAGGGUUGAUGGAGGCUGUGUCUUGGGGGACUCGGUUACCCAUGUCAGAAAGUGAGAACUGGGACAGCUUGAGGGAACUGCUUCAGUCUUCGGGAAACUAGUUUGUAGCUAAGAUCAGAUCCCUUCGAAUGUGUUUUCAGGACCCCCGGUGCCUUGCUGAUCAGCUUCCCAGCUUCUCUGGGCUCCAGGCUUCAACUGAAACCAGCUACUGGCAUGACAGGGUUUAUCCGUAAGCCCUCCCUCUCCACUGGAAGCUGCCCAUUUUCCACGUCCCUCGUAUACACGUGCUAACAUCCAUCAAGCUCUUUCUCUGUGCCACACAUGGUGCCAAGCAACGCACACACACAGCCAGCUUCACCAAGGAGACUUGUCUUGCGGGGGUGCCCAUUAAGGAAAGGUUGCUUCGGAGUUCCUCUCGUGGCGCAGCCAAAACGAAUCCGACUAGAAAGGCAGCCCCACUUGGGCGUUCAAGACUUGUCCACUUAAAAAGUCAUAACUCGGAGUUCCCUUAGUGGCUCAGCAGUAACAAACAUGACGAGUAUCCAUGAGGUUGUGGGUUUGAUCCCCGGCCCCACUCCAUGGGUUAAGGAUCCAGCGUGGCAGUGAGCUGUGGUGUAGGUGGCAGAUGUGGCUCGGAUCUGGCGUUGCUGUGGCUGUGGUGUAGGCCGGCAGCUACAGCUCUGAUGCGACCCCUAGCCUGGGAACGUUCAUACGCCAUGGGUGCGGCCCUAAAAAGCAAAAUAAUGGUAAUAAAAAUUAAAAAAAAAAAGUCACACUCUUAUCCUAGACCCGAGCAGUGAAGCAGACACACAGCAGCUCUCAGAUGCUGCCCGCUCCUCUGCCCUUACUGCAGGAGGUUGAGGCAGCAGGGGACAGAAAUGGAAAACAGAUGUAUUUCCUGGGGUGACCGCCUGGGCAGGGACAAGGCGGUCCUGGGCUCUGGGUCUUUAGUGCUGACCCCGCUCAUUCCCUGAAGCGGGGUUUCUCAUCCUAGCACCAGUGACAUGUGGGGCAGGAUUAGCCUUUGUUGUGGGGGCCCGUUCUAGGCAUUGUUUGCCAGAUUCCCUGGCCUUGGCCCACUCAGUGCCACAGCACCUCCCCCACGCUGUGCAACCAAAAACGUCCUGCAGGCAUUGCCAGUGGCCCCGGGGGCAACCUUGCCCUGGCUGGCUUGAACUUGGUGUGGACAAGUGGGGGGCCCCCAGGCCUGCUGACAGAUGAGACACCCUCGCAAGGGGGUCCCCGGGUUACCUCUUCUUGCUGACCCUGGGAGGUGGCCUCUUGCCACCAAUCCAAACCCCAGAAUCUGCAGUUCCAACCAUGCUCUGGAUCCCACUCUGGGCUGUGGGGUGGCGAACUCUGAGAGGAAGGAGGCCCCCGUCCUUUGCCUCCUGGCUCACCGCCCACCCUGCCAGCUCCUCGGGGCGCUGUCCAAACUUCAGGAGCCCCAGGGCAGACCCACCGGCCCAUGGGCAAGUGGACAGCCAAGUAAGAGACGAGGUGUUCCUUUUAGUGUCCCACACACUUUACAACGACUCCACUGUGUCCCCAACCACCCCCUCGCCCCCACCUGGUUUCAAGAAAAGCCAGUCAAGCCCCCAUGAAGAAGGGGCCUUCCCCCGCCUCGCUUUUCCCUCCGGGGCGGGAUGCUGUGACGCCAGCUACCCCCCCCCCUCCACAGGUUAAGGCCACCAUCCUCACUCAGACACCAGCAACAAGUCUGGGGGUCCCCAGGCCACCUUCACUUUUGACCAGCUGACAGCAAAUUCAGGGGUUCCCACGGCCACUUCAGGUUCAACAAUUCCUAAAUGACUCAGAACCCAGGAAAGCCUUGCACUUGCUAUUGCAGUUUAAGGACAGCGAAAGGAUUCAGCUCUGAGCCAGGCACGGGGUGACACCUCGGGUGAGGCCUGGGAGGGUCCCCAACUUGAAGCUUCUGGUGUCCUCAGGGACAUGUCACCCUCUUGGCACAUCAGUGUGUGACAAUAUGCAGCGCCUUGCCAACCGGGGACACGCACAGAGUUUUGGUGUCUAGGGUUGGUUUGUUAAAUUUUUGUUUGUUUUUAUGGAUGCAUAUACCAUGCAGAAGUUCUCCGGGACCAGGGACCCAACCUGUGCCACAGCAGUGAUGAUUUGGGGUCCCUGACACACUGCACCACCAAAGAACUCCUGGUGUCUAGAGUUUUUACUGGGGUCUCAUUAUAUGGGUGCAAUUGAUUGAGUCAUUGACCACUGAUUGAACUCAGUUUCCAGCUCUGCUCCAAUCCCCAGAGGCUGAGCUAAUAUCAUUUGGUUUAUCCUAAAUGACUGGGUAGAUUUAGAGGGUCCACCAUGAAUAACUGACCCUCCAAUCAUUCAGGAAAUUCCAAGGAUUUAGAAAGAAUUUCGCAGGAGUUCCCAUUGUGGCUCAGCAGUAAUGAACACCGCUAGUAUCCAUGAGGACGCAGGUUCGAUCCCUGGCCCCUCUCAGUUAGGGAUCCAGCAUUGCCGUGAGCUGUGGUGUAGGUCGUACACACGGCUCGGAUCUGGCCUGGCUGUGGCUGUGUAGGCUGGCAGCUACAGCUUUGAUUCGACCCCUAGCCUGGGAACCUUCAUAUGCCGUGGG
Molecule: long non-coding RNA, 6183 nt
Filed under: Sus scrofa (pig)
Lineage: Eukaryota; Metazoa; Chordata; Mammalia; Artiodactyla; Suidae
Description: lncRNA (ENSSSCG00000058498.1)
Source: RNAcentral